This 497-nucleotide ribosomal RNA is filed under the name uncultured bacterium. Its description in RNAcentral is "partial 16S ribosomal RNA". It matches the Rfam family "Bacterial small subunit ribosomal RNA", at positions 28 to 507 of the family's 1533-position model. The record is from RNAcentral.
GAUGAACGCUGGCGGCGUGCCUAAUACAUGCAAGUCGAGCGAACAGAUGAGGAGCUUGCUCCUCUGACGUUAGCGACGGACGGGUGAGUAACACGUGGAUAACCUACCUAUAAGACUGGGAUAACUUCGGGAAACCGGAGCUAAUACCGGAUAAUAUAUUGAACCGCAUGGUUCAAUAGUGAAAGACGGUUUUGCUGUCACUUAUAGAUGGAUCCGCGCCGCAUUAGCUAGUUGGUAAGGUAACGGCUUACCAAGGCAACGAUGCGUAGCCGACCUGAGAGGGCGAUCGGCCACACUGGAACUGAGACACGGUCCAGACUCCUACGGGAGGCAGCAGUAGGGAAUCUUCCGCAAUGGGCGAAAGCCUGACGGAGCAACGCCGCGUGAGUGAUGAAGGUCUUCGGAUCGUAAAACUCUGUUAUUAGGGAAGAACAAAUGUGUAAGUAACUAUGCACGUCUUGACGGUACCUAAUCAGAAAGCCACGGCUAACUACGUG